GGCGGUCUGUCAAGUCGGAUGUGAAAUCCCCGGGCUCAACCUGGGAACUGCAUUCGAAACUGGCAGGCUAGAGUCUUGUCGAGGGGGGUAGAAUUCCAGGUGUAGCGGUGAAAUGCGUAGAGAUCUGGAGGAAUACCGGUG
Molecule: ribosomal RNA, 141 nt
Filed under: Enterobacter sp. SMg10Ea
Lineage: Bacteria; Pseudomonadati; Pseudomonadota; Gammaproteobacteria; Enterobacterales; Enterobacteriaceae
Description: partial 16S ribosomal RNA
Rfam family: Bacterial small subunit ribosomal RNA
Source: RNAcentral